GUGAGGAAUAUUGGUCAAUGGGCGGGAGCCUGAACCAGCCAAGUCGCGUGAAGGAAGAAGGAUCUAUGGUUCGUAAACUUCUUUUGCAGGGGAAUAAAGUGCAGGACGUGUCCUGUUUUGUAUGUACCCUGAGAAUAAGGAUCGGCUAACUCCGUGCCAGCAGCCGCGGUAAUACGGAGGAUCCGAGCGUUAUCCGGAUUUAUUGGGUUUAAAGGGUGCGUAGGUGGUUUGAUAAGUCAGCGGUGAAAGUUUGCAGCUUAACUGUAAAAAUGCCGUUGAAACUGUCGGUGUUGAGUGUAAAUGAGGUAGGCGGAAUGCGUGGUGUAGCGGUGAAAUGCAUAGAUAUCACGCAGAACUCCGAUUGCGAAGGCAGCUUACUAAGCUACAACUGACACUGAAGCACGAAAGCGUGGGGAUCAAACAGGAUUAGAAACCCUGGUAGUCC
Molecule: ribosomal RNA, 445 nt
Filed under: uncultured bacterium
Lineage: Bacteria
Description: partial 16S ribosomal RNA
Rfam family: Bacterial small subunit ribosomal RNA
Source: RNAcentral